ACGGCGAAGCUCUGAACUUAAGCGCCAGUAAACGGCGGUGGUAACUAUAACCAUCCUAAGGUAGCGAAAUUCCUUGUCGGGUAAGUUCCGACCUGCACGAAUGGCGUAACGACUUCUCCACUGUCUCAACCACGAACUCGGCGAAAUUGCACUACGAGUAAAGAUGCUCGUUACGCGCAGCAGGACGGAAAGACCCCGGGACCUUUACUAUAGCUUGGUAUUGGUGUUCGGUACGGCUUGUGUAGGAUAGGUGGGAGACUGUGAAGCGGCCACGCCAGUGGUCGUGGAGUCAUCGUUGAAAUACCACUCUGGUCGUUCUGGACAUCUAACCUCGGUCCGUGAUCCGGAUCAGGGACAGUGCCUGGUGGGUAGUUUAACUGGGGCGGUUGCCUCCUAAAGGGUAACGGAGGCGCCCAAAGGUUCCCUCAGCCUGGUUGGCAAUCAGGUGUCGAGUGUAAGUGCACAAGGGAGCUUGACUGUGAGACAGACAUGUCGAGCAGAGACGAAAGUCGGGACUAGUGACCCGACGGUGGCUUGUGGAAGCGCCGUCGCUCAACGGAUAAAAGGUACCCCGGGGAUAACAGGCUGAUCCUGCCCAAGAGCUCAUAUCGACGGCAUGGUUUGGCACCUCGAUGUCGGCUCGUCGCAUCCUGGGGCUGGAGUCGGUCCCAAGGGUUGGGCUGUUCGCCCAUUAAAGCGGUACGCGAGCUGGGUUUAGAACGUCGUGAGACAGUUCGGUCCCUAUCCGCUGCGCGCGUAGGAAACUUGAGGAGAGCUGUCCCUAGUACGAGAGGACCGGGAUGGACGAACCACUGGUGUGUCAGUUGUCCUGCCAAGGGCACCGCUGAUUAGCUACGUUCGGACGUGAUAACCGCUGAAAGCAUCUAAGCGGGAAGCACACUUCGAGAUGAGGUUUCCAUGCCCCGCAAGGGGUGAGAGGCUCCCAGCUAGACUACUGGGUUGAUAGGCCGGACGUGGAAGCACAGCAAUGUGUGGAGCUGACCGGUACUAAUAAGCCGACAACUUAAACAA
This 1032-nucleotide ribosomal RNA is filed under the name Ornithinimicrobium pekingense. RNAcentral's name for it is "bacterial LSU rRNA". It matches the Rfam family "Bacterial large subunit ribosomal RNA", at positions 1896 to 2925 of the family's 2925-position model. RNAcentral also lists the same sequence under 1 other name. Lineage: Bacteria; Bacillati; Actinomycetota; Actinomycetes; Micrococcales; Ornithinimicrobiaceae. The record is from RNAcentral.